This 419-nucleotide ribosomal RNA is filed under the name Vreelandella aquamarina. Its description in RNAcentral is "bacterial SSU rRNA". It matches the Rfam family "Bacterial small subunit ribosomal RNA", at positions 56 to 492 of the family's 1533-position model. The record is from RNAcentral. Lineage: Bacteria; Pseudomonadati; Pseudomonadota; Gammaproteobacteria; Oceanospirillales; Halomonadaceae.
UGCAGUCGAGCGGUAACAGAUCCAGCUUGCUGGAUGCUGACGAGCGGCGGACGGGUGAGUAAUGCAUAGGAAUCUGCCCGAUAGUGGGGGAUAACCUGGGGAAACCCAGGCUAAUACCGCAUACGUCCUACGGGAGAAAGGGGGCUCCGGCUCCCGCUAUGGGAUGAGCCUAUGUCGGAUUAGCUAGUUGGUGAGGUAACGGCUCACCAAGGCCACGAUCCGUAGCUGGUCUGAGAGGAUGAUCAGCCACAUCGGGACUGAGACACGGCCCGAACUCCUACGGGAGGCAGCAGUGGGGAAUAUUGGACAAUGGGGGAAACCCUGAUCCAGCCAUGCCGCGUGUGUGGAGAAGGCCCUCGGGUUGUAAAGCACUUUCAGCGAGGAAGAACGCCUAGCGGUUAAUACCCGCUAGGAAAGAC